ACAUACAGUAGUAGGAAGGAAACUGGACCGACCCUUCGGGGAGCUUUGUACAGGUGCUGCAUGGCUGUCGUCAGCUCGUGUCGUGAGAUGUUCGGUUAAGUCCGCUAACGAGCGCAACCCUCGCUGUGUGUUACAAGUGUCACACGGAACUGCCGGUCAUAAACCGGAGGAAGGUGGGGAUGACGUCAAGUCAGCAUGGCCUUUAUAUCCUGGGCUACACACACGCUACAAUGGGAAGGGACAAUAGGUUGCGAAGCCGCGAGGCGGAGCCCAUCCAGCAAAACUUCCCUCAGUUCAGAUUGCAGGCUGCAACUCGCCUGCAUGAAGUUGGAGUUGCUAGUAAACGCAGGUCAGCCAUACUGCGUUGAAUACGUUCCCGGGGCUU
This 385-nucleotide ribosomal RNA is filed under the name uncultured Anaerolineaceae bacterium. Its description in RNAcentral is "bacterial SSU rRNA". It matches the Rfam family "Bacterial small subunit ribosomal RNA", at positions 984 to 1382 of the family's 1533-position model. The record is from RNAcentral. Lineage: Bacteria; Bacillati; Chloroflexota; Anaerolineae; Anaerolineales; Anaerolineaceae.